RNAcentral lists this ribosomal RNA (253 nucleotides) under uncultured bacterium. RNAcentral's name for it is "partial 16S ribosomal RNA". It matches the Rfam family "Bacterial small subunit ribosomal RNA", at positions 524 to 776 of the family's 1533-position model. The record is from RNAcentral.
UACGUAGGGGGCUAGCGUUGUCCGGAAUCAUUGGGCGUAAAGAGCGUGUAGGCGGCCCGGUAAGUCCGCUGUGAAAGUCGGGGGCUCAACCCUCGAAUGCCGGUGGAUACUGUCGGGCUAGAGUGCGGAAGAGGCGAGUGGAAUUCCUGGUGUAGCGGUGAAAUGCGCAGAUAUCAGGAGGAACACCGAUAGCGAAGGCAGCUCGCUGGGACGGUACUGGCGCUGAGGCGCGAAAGCGUGGGGAGCGAACAGG